AAGAUGUGAGAUAGAAGAGGACUGU
Molecule: non-coding RNA, 25 nt
Filed under: Cricetulus griseus (Chinese hamster)
Lineage: Eukaryota; Metazoa; Chordata; Mammalia; Rodentia; Cricetidae
Source: RNAcentral